Pogona vitticeps (central bearded dragon) is the source of this 2035-nucleotide long non-coding RNA. The record is from Ensembl. Lineage: Eukaryota; Metazoa; Chordata; Lepidosauria; Squamata; Agamidae.
CUCUCUCUCUCUCUCUCUCUCUCUCUGCACCUCCUUGAGCAUGUUGCACAUUUACUGCUGGGGCAGAUCUUGUGCCUGGGGUCAUAUUUUGCUCCACUGGAGCAAGGCCAUCUGCACAUGGAUGAGAAAUUGGAUUUGGGUCUUGUGGAUGUGCAAGCGCACAUGAUGUCGGAUGCUUAGUUUGUCUCCACCACCCUUCCCUCCAACUUCUUUGUUGUCUUAGCCUACCUUUCCAUUAAUUAGAGGCUAUUAUUCUCUUCAGCUGAGAUAUCCUUGAUCACAAUCCCGUGGCAGAGGAUUCUGAUACAGUGGAGAGACUUGCUGGAAGACCUCUGAUACCUGGAAAAAAAUUUGUUUCUGGACUACAGCUCCCAGAGUCACCCAGUCAGCCUGCUCCUGUCCUAUGCUAGCUGGAAGAUUCUGAGAGUCUGAAAAGGAUAGUUUCAAAUUCCGGCCGGUAGGACCAGCCGUUGGUCACAGAGAGCCUCAUGAGAGUGGAGUGGACUGCCUUGGAAGGCGGUGGAAUCUCCUCCUUCAGAAGUUUUGAAACAGAGUUUGUGUGUGUGUGUGUGGGGGGGGGAAGGUCCUGACUGUCAAGUUUGUGUUAGCUGUGGGUUUCUUGACUAGGUGAUCUUUGGGCUUCUUUCUAGAGCUACCGUUCUGUGUCUCUGUGGCAAUCUCACAAAGCAGCAGAGGACCCUCUCCUAAGGCACAUGGUGAUGGCAGCCACUCUCUUUCGGAGAGGGAGGGAAAAUCCAGGCUGCAGAAAGGUUGUUGUUGGGGGGGGGGAGGAAACGGACAUAAAUUGCAUUGGCCCCCUUCCUUUCCAAAGAAUAGAGAGAGCGUGAGAACCGCUCUGUGCUGAACUGCUUGCCGACAUUGACUCUUCUGUGUGGGAAGAGGGCAGGAAAGGACGAUCCUGUUUGUGCAAAGCAGCAAGGGGGGGGGGUGAGGUCUCUAGUCUCUUCCUUCUCCUCCCCCCCCCUUUGCAAUCCCCCCUGGCUUGGCUCCUAUCCCACAUCACAUGCCCUGUGGUGUUCUGCCGCUUUAAACCUGGGCAGGGUGGCUGGCUGUCCGCGGAGUGCUUUGCAGCUGUUGCCUAGCCUUCUGCUCCUCUAUUUUAUAAAUAAUGCAGCACAGAGGCGGGUUGGCAGGCAGCUUUGCAGACAGUUGGAUCGAAGGAGCCUUCAACACAUAGCAGCAAGUUAUGUGCAUGUGUGCGUGUGUGCGCACGCACAAGAGGUUAGGCGGAGGGAACAGUUGUGAAUAUGUGCAGAGUCCUUCACGGCCGCUUUCCAUAUAGUUGGGAUUGUGGAUCAUCCUGAUAUCAAGGCAAACAGUCCUUGCCCACUUCAAAUUUAGAGAUCAACCAUUGUUGCAGGUACGUUUACAUGUGCUCAGUAGAUGAAUUAAGGGUUACGUCUCAUUUACCUUUUUUUUUCCCUUUUGCCUCGUCUGUUAUUACCCGAACAGCAGCUGAAAUGAAAUCUUAAUUAUGAUCAUGACUUUCUAAUAACUGUAUUUGCUUUAAUCCAGGGUCACAGUCAACCCUGUUUGAUCCCACAUUUUGGUACAGAAAGCCAAACACUGAGUCAACAGGCUGGACUUUAGCUAAGCUCAGCAUUGCCCCCUGAUUUUGUCCUAAGUUUUAUACUAAAUUUUAUUCCAGUUUCUCUGACAUAGGGCUUGCUCCUUUGUAUGUGCUUCUGUCCCUAGCCAAAAGGAAUUGUGUUUCAAUGCAGGGUUUUGUGUGUGUUUGUGUUUGGCUAAAUGACGUGGCGCAGUGGUUAAAACGCUGUACUGCAGCUAAAACUGUGCUCACGACCUGGGGUUCAAAUCCCAGGUAGCCGGCUCAAGGUUGACUCAGCCUUCCAUCCUUCCGAGGUCAGUAAAAUGAGUACCCAGCUUGCUGGGGGGGGGGGCAAUGUGUAGCCUGUAUAAUUAAAAUUGUAAACCGCCCGGAGAGGGCUUGUAGCGCUAUGGGGCGGUAUAUAAGUCCAAUAAAUAAAUAAAUAUAAAUAAACUCUUGUGUCUA